AACGACUCACAAGCAACGCGACAAAAACCAAAAAAUCACGCAACUCCAGCUCGCAUCAGACGCGAAAUCAGCAAACACCGCGUGCUCUCCUUAUCGUCUCGUACAGGCGUACCCGAACAGAGCAGGUGUCUCAAUCCUGUCGCUCGCUCGUCCUUACUCAUAAUCGGAUGGCCUUGGUUCUGAAUCCGUUGAGAAUUCGUACGAAUUCCAGCUCCCUCGACCUUAUCCAUUAAGAGUUCUGAAUUGUGAGGCAUUCCCACAUCGUUUUCCCCCUCAAUUCCAACCCAGAAGUGGCCCUAUAUAAACCCUCUUCAUUCACUGUUUUAGGAGAGGAUUUUCGGAGACCAAAGAGUACCCAUAAAAUUUUGGGAAUUCUUGGUCCCAUAGUUCAAAAUUUUAAAGCGUUUUGUGGCUUUCGAGUUGAAGAGGUGGAGUCGUCUUGGAAGACUCGUCGCUGCGCAGAACCAGGUAAUCUUCUUGCCCUUUGUCAGUGUUGCAUUCUAGAGUUGUUAUUUGUUUAGAUUCAAUAUGAUUAGUGGUGUGAAUGACAGUGGAAGUCUUCUUAAAGUUAAGUAAAUUUUGAAGGAGUUCAAAUGUUUUGCUCUGCUGAAAGUUAUUUUCCAUGUCAAUGUGAUUCUUUAUUUCAUCAAGUUCAUAAAUCCAUACAUGUGUUUCCACUUACUAUUAUCUCUAUUCGGUUGGAAAUUUGUGCGAUAUAGUUGGUUUUUUUUUUGCCUUAAGUUGUUGUGUUCUGCAUAAAGAUUAUCACCUCGCCUUUUGCCAAAGCCUGAUUUCUCGUAUCUGUUUUAUAAAUACUAGGUUGUGCAACUGCUGUUUUGUUAUAUUAAGGUGAAAAUUAGUUGUUGGGUUGCUUUCUUAUUGUCUUCAAAACGUUUUGAUUGCUAUUGAUAUGAAAAAUGUCUUUAUUUCCUACCUUAGCUUCUUUGAUCCAUAGUUGUGCAUACCUUAGCAAUAUUACAUAACCAUGUUUUUUCCCCAGACGUUGCUGGUUGCUUUCCUUUCUGUUAGAUUUUGAAUUAAAUGCUUCAGGAUAUGCAUGUCGUUUUAAUAUUUGAUAGUAUGAUUUCUUUGUUGUUUUAUAUGGGUUAGUAUCAUAAACCUCUUUAUUUUGUUAAGUAGCAUGUUCUAUGCCAUCUAUACUUGCUUUGUAUAGUUUCUGUUCUGCGUUAAUUCCUGUUGUAGAUGCUUAGUUUUGUUAUGUGUAAUGAAUAACAACUCACUGGUUUGAAAGCUUUAAAUAUGUAAGUUGGGUAAUUGGAUUCAAAACUUUGGUUCUAGUAUUUUAUUUCUCGUCUUAAUAGUUUCUUAAAUACAGGUGAUUUGCUCUUUAUAGUUUAGUUUUCUUAAUUAUAUCGGAAAUGGAUAAGAAGCCUCUUGUUUGUUCUUAUGUUAGAUAUUAUUCUCUUUUAGGUCUAGUCGAUUUGUUUUCUUUUUAAAUGCCCCGUGUAAUUCAAAUUAUCUCAAGGUUUCUUUGCUUCUCAAAUAGAUGUUGGUCUCAUUUUGAUUUUUAAUGUGAGCUCAUUUAAAGUUCCUUUCCAUUUUGUGUCUUAAACUGUUUAUUUGAGAUAUGUUAUCUAGUUUUGAAUGUUCACUGGCUUAGAUUAAUAUUAUUUAUGAUUGAUUCUAAUUCUUAUCUUUUCUUCCUUUUCUCUACUCUGCAUGAGCACUUCGAGUUCAAUGGACUCCACUUCUCUUGCAUUAUUCCACUUCUUGAGUCAACCUUCUUCGGAGUCGUGAAAGGGAGUCAUGUUAUUGGGUUAAACACCCAAAAAUCAGCAGCAACAACAGCUCCAAAUAGCUCAAUAAAUUGGGUUUAAACACCCAAAAAAUGCAACAGCAGCAGUAGCCUUAAAAGGCCAAACCUGAAGCAGCAACUACAGGUCCCCAAAGGGACACAAAUUGUUGAUUCAAGUCCAAUUUAUAUAGUAAUCCCGGCAGCAGCUAAGCAAGAAGCAUGAAAUGGGGGUUAAAAACCAAAAUCGAUGAAGUAACAAAUCGACAUUUCAGCCCCCGAAAUUUCAGUUUUAUAAUUUAUUAUUUAUGUUUGUCUUCUCGUUAUUAUUUUGGUCAUUGUGAAUGCUAACCCUUUGUUUUGUUGUUAACUUUUUUUAAAACUUAGAUGAAUCCUUUGGAGGUUUUCGAAUGGCUAUUCCAUUUCGUUACUUGUUUACUUUAUGUUUUCGAAGCUUUUUUUUAAGUUGGACAAUUUAGGCCUAUGAGAAUAACUUGAGAACCCUUUAUGUUCUUUUAUAGUUAUCGAAAAGCUUUGGAUCCAUGUUUAUGAAUUUAAACUAACUAUAUAGUUCAAGUUUUUGAAUAGGAAAAAAAAUUUGUCAAGUUCCUUAAACUAAAUUAGUGGCUUUUUAUUUUAAUUUAGAGCUUUGUAUGAAUGACUUGAGGAUCGUUAAUAUCCUCUUAUAGUUGUUUUAAACAAGGUCUUUCAAUUCACAUUUAUGUGUUGAAGCAUUUGUGUGGUUCAAAAUAUGACUAUGGACAAGAAUUUGAGAUAAAUCUUAAAAUUUUUAGAAGUAUCAAAAUACUUUUAUAUGAGUAUCAACCAAGAUUUUUUUUAAUUAAAUUUUUUUUUUAUAUAUAAAAUUAGCCAAAUUUUUAAAUCCGUUGGUCAACCGCGUGUUAGAGGAUUCUCUAAGGUGCCUAAGCCCUUCCUUAGAGAAUUAUUUGAACCCUUACCCAAAACUCUGAUUUUAUGUUUUCUUUUAAACUUCCCUUUUUUAUCUAUUUGGUUUUCUUAAUUUUUCCUAAAAGAUUAAGUGGCAACUUCCUAAAAUUAAAAUUUUGCAAAAUUGGCCAAAGUUGCGAAAUUGGCUUCGAAACCCUUUAGUUUUUGAAAUCGGGUCGUAACAAUAACAUGCACCGUCAAUUUAAAAGAAGUUGAAGCUACCACUUUACUUUGAAUUGUUGUUGUAAAUCAAUUAAUUGUCUUAUUUUUCCAAUGUAACUUGCUUCACUUAUUAUGGAUAUCGAUAUGUAAUAAUUUUUUUGAUGACAUAAAUAAUCAAAUAUAUAGAAUAUUUUUUAAUAAUUGAAAAGGGUCAAAAAUAUCCUUAAAUUAUCUGAAAUAGCUCAUAUAUACCUUUGAAGUAUAUUUCGGCUUAAAUAUAUCCUUAUCGGCAAACUAUUGGGUCAAAAAUACCCUUCUUAUUAACCGAAUCGAUCAAACGUGACUUAGAUGACAUGUGGAUGUCACAUGGCAUGCCACAUGAGCCAAUAGAAUUCCACUCAUGCCACAUAGACUAAUAAACUUAUCCGUAAUUUCUCCAUUUUUCGUAGAAUUUAGAAACCAUUUUACUUGAAACAUAGAACCCCUUUUCCUCAUUUCUCCAUUUCCUUAGAACGAUUUCACAAAAUACAUAAGUUCUAAGGGAAGGGUAUUUUUGACCCUAUAGUUUGAGGGGAAGGGUAUUUUUGAGCCGAAAUAUAGUUCAAGGAUAUAUUUGAGUUAUUCGAAUGGUUCAAGAGUAUUUUUGACCCAC
This 3515-nucleotide long non-coding RNA is filed under the name Solanum lycopersicum (tomato). Its description in RNAcentral is "long non-coding RNA (SLYC_LNC000009)". Lineage: Eukaryota; Viridiplantae; Streptophyta; Magnoliopsida; Solanales; Solanaceae. The record is from RNAcentral.